GCUGUGCUUCAGUCAUUACAUUUCCAUUUGCGUGAAAUUAUGUAACUUUCGAGUGCGCGGACUGUUACAUUUUAUGUACUAUGCCUAAUGUAAUCUAUCAUAGUGGCCACUGGAAAUAGAAGCAUACGACUAUAGCCACAGAAAACGGCAGAUGUUGGGCCGAAGUUAUACACGUGCAUUAGUGCAAAUGGAAACUGUAUUAGUACAAAACUAAACAUGAACAUUAGCUCCAUUAAAUUACCAGACCUUCUAACAUGCGAUUCGAUCAUUACUGAUGCCACAAGUGUGGCACAUUCCACGUGAUUCCGCAAAAAGCAAUUUCUAAAAAUCUUGCCAGCUGUAAAAGCGACUGUUGCCCUCCAAGACCCUUCGUGUGGCAGAAAGAUGGCUAUCAAACCCGUUCCCAGCAUCUCCUGUUCCCGGUAGAGGACUGCGCGAUCCCCUGGUCUUUCUUGGUCGCUUCCAGCGAAGGCUUACGCUCACCGUGUUCCUGCUGCGGUGGAGAAUUCGUGGCAGGAUCGGUCCGAGCUGACUGACCUCUGUAGAUCUGAUUGUCUUCUUCAGUGGAGACUUCCUCUUACUGCUCAGUACACUUCUUGCUGAGUCAUCACAUACCUGUCAAACGAGUCCUGCCAGGUAACAGCGGCUGCACCCUCUGCCCUGCAGUGCGAUGCCCGUGGUUGAACUCAG
Conger conger (European conger) is the source of this 690-nucleotide long non-coding RNA. RefSeq lists it as uncharacterized. NCBI's taxonomy places the organism in Eukaryota, Metazoa, Chordata, Actinopteri, Anguilliformes, Congridae. The record is from RefSeq and is a predicted model, not a curated record. The transcript has 4 exons.